RNAcentral lists this ribosomal RNA (459 nucleotides) under uncultured bacterium. RNAcentral's name for it is "partial 16S ribosomal RNA". It matches the Rfam family "Bacterial small subunit ribosomal RNA", at positions 338 to 795 of the family's 1533-position model. The record is from RNAcentral.
CCUACGGGAGGCAGCAGUGAGGAAUAUUGGUCAAUGGGCGCGAGCCUGAACCAGCCAAGUCGCGUGAGGGAAGACGGUCCUAUGGAUUGUAAACCUCUUUUGUCGGGGAGCAAAAGACGCCACGCGUGGCGUUCCGAGAGUACCCGAAGAAAAAGCAUCGGCUAACUCCGUGCCAGCAGCCGCGGUAAUACGGAGGAUGCGAGCGUUAUCCGGCUUUAUUGGGUUUAAAGGGUGCGCAGGCGGAAGAUCAAGUCAGCGGUAAAAGUGAGAGGCUCAACCUCUUCGAGCCGUUGAAACUGGUUUUCUUGAGUGAGUGAGAAGUAUGCGGAAGGCGUGGUGUAGCGGUGAAAUGCAUAGAUAUCACGCAGAACUCCGAUUGCGAAGGCAGCAUACCGGCGCUCAACUGACGCUCAUGCACGAAAGUGUGGGUAUCGAACAGAAUUAGAUACCCCUGUAGUC